This 651-nucleotide ribosomal RNA is filed under the name uncultured bacterium. RNAcentral's name for it is "bacterial SSU rRNA". It matches the Rfam family "Bacterial small subunit ribosomal RNA", at positions 139 to 808 of the family's 1533-position model. The record is from RNAcentral.
GGGGAUAACAGUUAGAAAUGACUGCUAAUACCGCAUAAGCGCACGGGACCGCAUGGUCCGGUGUGAAAAACUCCGGUGGUAUGAGAUGGACCCGCGUCUGAUUAGUUAGUUGGCGGGGUAGCGGCCCACCAAGACGACGAUCAGUAGCCGACCUGAGAGGGUGACCGGCCACAUUGGGACUGAGACACGGCCCAAACUCCUACGGGAGGCAGCAGUGGGGAAUAUUGCACAAUGGGGGAAACCCUGAUGCAGCGACGCCGCGUGAGUGAAGAAGUAUUUCGGUAUGUAAAGCUCUAUCAGCAGGGAAGAAGUUGACGGUACCUGAGUAAGAAGCCCCGGCUAACUACGUGCCAGCAGCCGCGGUAAUACGUAGGGGGCAAGCGUUAUCCGGAUUUACUGGGUGUAAAGGGAGCGUAGACGGCAGUGCAAGUCUGAAGUGAAAGCCCCGGGCUUAACCCGGGAACUGCUUUGGAAACUGUACGGCUGGAGUGCUGGAGAGGUAAGCGGAAUUCCUAGUGUAGCGGUGAAAUGCGUAGAUAUUAGGAGGAACACCAGUGGCGAAGGCGGCUUACUGGACAGUAACUGACGUUGAGGCUCGAAAGCGUGGGGAGCAAACAGGAUUAGAUACCCUGGUAGUCCACGCCGUAAACG